UAAAAAUUUUCAAAUAAAAGGUUUCCUCUAAUUUUUCCUCGAAAUUAGAGUGGCGACCCUUCACUUUCCACGUCGGUGAGAAUUGCCUGAUGACUGCAAAAACGUUUGCAACAUGUGGAUUUCCUUGAAUGUCUAAGUCAAGAAUUUGAGUGUAGACCUUUCUCUUGCCCAUGAGAAUCCUUCGUCAAGCAUUACUUGUUUGGGUGUGGGAUUGUGUAUGCGCAAGUCAUGUCUACACUAGUAUAUAUCUUUAGAUUUGUGUCACAAGGUAGAGUAAGUCAAAUUUUUAUCUCAUCCUGUUCCAUGGUAGAUUUUGAAGUUCUUGGAUAAUUCAGUUAUGGUUUGUCAUGUUUUCAGAUUAAAAUUUUCCAUUAUUUUCAGAUUAAAAUUGCUUGGGAGGAUGAUCG
This 407-nucleotide unclassified non-coding RNA is filed under the name Hevea brasiliensis (rubber tree). Lineage: Eukaryota; Viridiplantae; Streptophyta; Magnoliopsida; Malpighiales; Euphorbiaceae. The record is from RNAcentral.